Molecule: long non-coding RNA, 2027 nt
Filed under: Schizosaccharomyces pombe (fission yeast)
Lineage: Eukaryota; Fungi; Ascomycota; Schizosaccharomycetes; Schizosaccharomycetales; Schizosaccharomycetaceae
Source: RNAcentral
AGGGCCACUAAUAUACAAACCAAUUUGAUUACUUUUCCCUUCGUAAACUGCUUUGCACUUCCAUCUCAAUGUCUUUGGGACUUGCUUGUCCUCGAAGCUCUCUCAUCGUAAGGCCAACAAACCACUUUAUAAGGGAAGUUUUACCAUUUUUCAACUCUUCAAAUUGUUUUGAAUGUUUACUAAGAACACUUUCUACACAAGCUUUUAUUUUCUCGGAAUCGCCAAUGGUACCAAAAUUUUUUUCUUGGAUGAGAGUAGAUAUAGGUUUCGAUGAAGGUGAUUUUAUCAAUGAACGAAGGAAGAGUUUAGCAGAUGCAGCUGUAAGUUUCUUCUUGGAAACAAGAAGUACAAUGUCAGCCAAUUGCAAAGGAGGAACGAUAUUGAUGUUAGGGGAAGGGUCAAUUUCACGAACUUUUCCUACUAGUUCCACAGUGAUCCAGUAUGGAAGGGUACGUAAAGCAUCCUCUUUCAAAGAUUGAUUUACAUGGCUUAUAGAAUCGAUAUGGUGGUACGCAUUUCUGUAGUAGUGAUAGUAUUCCUUCACACUUAAUAAUGUACGGGCCUCUUUAUGACUAAUGGCAUGAGAACCCGUUGUAAGCUUUUGGAAAAGUUCGUCAGGCAGAGCAGGUAAUGAUUUUAAGACAGAAUUCACAUAACUCCGAGAAAGUAUGAUUGGGGGGAUAUCGGUUUCAGGAAGAAAUAGAUAAUCGUCGGAGGUUGUCUUAUUACGAAGAGGAAAUGUUUUACCAGUGAUAUCGUCGAAUCCCCUCGUUUCUGAGGGCCAAGAAACACCCAUAUUUGCCAAAGAGACUUGUCGGUCCACUUCAUGGCGAAUUGAAUUUACUACAUUUCGUACAUUUGACAAAUUUUUUAAUUCAACACGAGCCAACUGAGUACCUAAUUGGGGGAAAUGGGAUAUGGAUUUCUCUACUGAUAUCACUCCGUUGUUUUUAAAAUGAAGUUCAUUUAGAUUUUCUGAAGAGAUGACUGGCGCGAUUGAGACAUUAACAUCACAUCUCAUCCCUCCAUUUUCCAUCAACGCCUCAGAUAUUCCAGCGAAGCGAACGAUGGAUUGCAAUUUAAACAAGAAUGCAGAAACAGUAUUGACAUCAUGAAAGCAAGGUUUAGUGACGAUUUCCAAUAACGGAGUUCCUGCUCGAUUAUAAUCCAGUAAGAUUCGCGAUGGAUUUUUAGCAGACGUCGAUUUUGCAGUAUCCUAAAUAUAAGUUUGUUAAAAUACUUUUCAAAUCCAGUAUAUGGAAAGUUGUUUUGACAAUGUUUCUUACCUGUUCUAGUUGAAUAUGUUGUAUGGGGAUUUGAGUAUCUGGAACAUUGUCCAAACCAGCCGACAAUGGUAUAAAUCCAUUUCUUCCUAUAGGAAUUUCUUUCUGCGUAAUCUGAUAUCCCGCAGGUAAGUCUGGAUAAAAGUAAUGCUUUCUGUCGAAUUUGCAAACAUUCGCUACCUCACAAUUCAGUGCCAAUGCUCCUUUCACUGCAAACUUUAACGCUUCAGGAUUCAAAAUCUAUAAAAAAAUAAAAAGUUAAUAAGCUGUGAUAAUUGAAACGCAUUCGAUUCUAAAAAAACUCACCGGCAUAGAGCCUGGUAGUGACACAUCGAAAUACGCAACACAAGUAUUAGGCUGUGCAAGAGGGUUAACCUUUGCUGGAGAAAACAGCUUUUUCACUGUUGCAAGUUGUAAAUGUAUUUCCAAUCCAAUGGAAGCGGCCCAUCUUCCAAAAGACAUUCUAAAUAGCUUCCAUUGAAGUGUAGGAUAUCAGUAUUUGGCUAGUAUCCGUCGCGGUAGUCGAGCUCCUCGAUAGUAACAUAUAACGAAAAGCUAUAACGAUAAUAUUCACUUACGAAAUUCUUUGUUUAGACGGUAUUUUUAUUUACAUCGAAAAAGUGAUGUACUAAUGUAAUAUUAUUUAUUGACUGUAUAUAUAUGCUCAUUAGAAAAGGAAACUUUGAUGCAAAAGCUGUGGACGUGGUAGUGAGACCAUUUUAAGAUACUUUAACGUUUUUCAAC